AAUUCUCAACCUUUCUGGCUCUUGUGAGACAAGUUAGGCUUGGACAAUGGGAGUUGCUGGCUCUUUCUUUGUAAAAGUCAGCUCUUCUCAAAUGCAUUAGCAGGAUCAUCACUGAUCAUCUUUGGUAUGAUAAUUAUCUAUAUCACAGACAAUCAGUAUCCUUCAUGGAAGAUUUUGCUUCUAGUAGUCUCUCCAGAGACAAUAUAUGAAAA
This 212-nucleotide unclassified non-coding RNA is filed under the name uncultured Entoloma. RNAcentral's name for it is "sequence contains ITS2". Lineage: Eukaryota; Fungi; Basidiomycota; Agaricomycetes; Agaricales; Entolomataceae. The record is from RNAcentral.